GAUGAACGCUGGCGGCGUGCCUAAUACAUGCAAGUCGAGCGAACAGACGAGGAGCUUGCUCCUCUGACGUUAGCGGCGGACGGGUGAGUAACACGUGGAUAACCUACCUAUAAGACUGGGAUAACUUCGGGAAACCGGAGCUAAUACCGGAUAAUAUAUUGAACCGCAUGGUUCAAUAGUGAAAGACGGUUUUGCUGUCACUUAUAGAUGGAUCCGCGCCGCAUUAGCUAGUUGGUAAGGUAACGGCUUACCAAGGCAACGAUGCGUAGCCGACCUGAGAGGGGGAUCGGCCACACGGGAAAUGAGAAGCGGGCCAGACUCCGACGGGAGGCAGCAGUAGGGAAUCUUGCGAAAUGGGGGAAAGCCUGACGGAGCAACGCCGGGUGAGUGAAGAAGGUCUUCGGGUGGGAAAACUCUGUUAUUAGGGAAGAACAAAUGUGUAAGUAACUAUGCACGUCUUGACGGUACCUAAUCAGAAAGCCACGGCUAACUACGU
RNAcentral lists this ribosomal RNA (496 nucleotides) under uncultured bacterium. Its description in RNAcentral is "partial 16S ribosomal RNA". It matches the Rfam family "Bacterial small subunit ribosomal RNA", at positions 28 to 506 of the family's 1533-position model. The record is from RNAcentral.